GUGUGGGUGAAGAAGGCCUGCGGGUUGUAAAGCCCUUUCGGCCGGGAAGAAAAGCUGAGUGCUAAUACCAUUCAGUCUUGACGUUACCGGAGGAAGAAGCACCGGCAAACUCUGUGCCAGCAGCCGCGGUAAUACAGAGGGUGCGAGCGUUAAUCGGAAUUACUGGGCGUAAAGGGUGCGUAGGCGGUUACUUAAGUCGGAUGUGAAAUCCCCGGGCUCAACCUGGGAAUUGCAUUCGAUACUGGGUAGCUAGAGUAUGGUAGAGGGUAGUGGAAUUCCGGGUGUAGCGGUGAAAUGCGU
This 300-nucleotide ribosomal RNA is filed under the name uncultured bacterium. Its description in RNAcentral is "bacterial SSU rRNA". It matches the Rfam family "Bacterial small subunit ribosomal RNA", at positions 399 to 691 of the family's 1533-position model. The record is from RNAcentral.